Molecule: transfer RNA, 73 nt
Filed under: Ornithorhynchus anatinus (platypus)
Lineage: Eukaryota; Metazoa; Chordata; Mammalia; Monotremata; Ornithorhynchidae
Rfam family: tRNA
About the family: Transfer RNA (tRNA) molecules are approximately 80 nucleotides in length.
Source: Rfam by way of RNAcentral
AGCAGUGUGGCUUAGUGGAUAGAGCACGGGCCUGAGAAUCAGAAAUACCUGGGUCUUAAUCCCAGCUCUGCCA